Molecule: ribosomal RNA, 485 nt
Filed under: uncultured bacterium
Lineage: Bacteria
Description: partial 16S ribosomal RNA
Rfam family: Bacterial small subunit ribosomal RNA
Source: RNAcentral
GACGAACGCUGGCUGCGUGCUUAACACAUGCAAGUCGAACGCUGAAGCCCGAAGCUUGCUUCGGGUGGAUGAGUGGCGAACGGGUGAGUAACACGUGAGUAACCUGCCCCUGAUUUCGGGAUAAGCCUGGGAAACUGGGUCUAAUACCGGAUACGACCACCUGACGCAUGUCGGGUGGUGGAAAGUGUGUCGAUCGGGGGUGGGCUCGCGGCCUAUCAGCUUGUUGGUGGGGUAAUGGCCUACCAAGGCGAGGACGGGUAGCCGGCCUGAGGGGGGGGACGCGAAGCCGGGAAAUGAGACACGGCCCAGGAUCCUACGGGAGGCAGGAGUGGGGAAUAUUGCACAAUGGGGGAAACCCUGAUGCAGCGACGCAGAGUGCGGGAUGACGGCCUUCGGGUUGUAAACCGCUUUCAGCAGGGAAGAAGCGAAAGUGACGGUACCUGCAGAAGAAGUACCGGCUAACUACGUGCCAGCAGCCGCCGUAA